ACUUCUACACUCCGCAAAGGAAACGUCCAGAUAGAGACCGAUCCAGACACCCCUCCAGCAGGGAGUUAACGGGGCAGGGCCCCCAGCAGGGAGUUAAGGGGGGCAGGUCCCCCAGCAGGGAGUUAGGGGGGCCAGGGGGAGGUCCCGCAGCAGGGAGUUAAGGGGGGCAGGCCCCCCAGGACAGAGUGAAAGGGGGCAGGUCCCGCAGAAGGGAGUUAAGGGGGAUGGGGGGAGAUCCCGCAGCAGGGAGUUAAAGGGGGCAGGUCCCCCCAGGACAGAGUGAAAGGGGGCAGGUCCCGCAGGAGUUAAGGGGGAUGGGGGGAGGUCCCGCAGCAGGGAGUUAAAGGGGGCAGGUCCCCCCAGGACAAAGUGAAAGGGGGCAGGUCCCCCAGCAGAGAGUUAAAGGAGGAAGGUCCACCCAGGACAGAGUUAAAGGGGGCAGGUCCCCCAGAAUGGAGUUAAGGGGG
This is a long non-coding RNA of Gopherus flavomarginatus (Mexican gopher tortoise), 467 nucleotides long. RefSeq lists it as uncharacterized. The transcript is spliced from 3 exons. NCBI's taxonomy places the organism in Eukaryota, Metazoa, Chordata, Testudines, Testudinidae. The record is from RefSeq and is a predicted model, not a curated record.